RNAcentral lists this ribosomal RNA (751 nucleotides) under uncultured bacterium. RNAcentral describes it as "bacterial SSU rRNA". It matches the Rfam family "Bacterial small subunit ribosomal RNA", at positions 33 to 773 of the family's 1533-position model. The record is from RNAcentral.
ACGCUGGCGGUAGGCCUAACACAUGCAAGUCGAACGGCAGCACAGGAGAGCUUGCUCUCUGGGUGGCGAGUGGCGGACGGGUGAGGAAUACAUCGGAAUCUACCUUUUCGUGGGGGAUAACGUAGGGAAACUUACGCUAAUACCGCAUACGACCUUCGGGUGAAAGCAGGGGACCUUCGGGCCUUGCGCGGAUAGAUGAGCCGAUGUCGGAUUAGCUAGUUGGCGGGGUAAAGGCCCACCAAGGCGACGAUCCGUAGCUGGUCUGAGAGGAUGAUCAGCCACACUGGAACUGAGACACGGUCCAGACUCCUACGGGAGGCAGCAGUGGGGAAUAUUGGACAAUGGGCGCAAGCCUGAUCCAGCCAUACCGCGUGGGUGAAGAAGGCCUUCGGGUUGUAAAGCCCUUUUGUUGGGAAAGAAAAGCAAUCGAUUAAUACUCGGUUGUUCUGACGGUACCCAAAGAAUAAGCACCGGCUAACUUCGUGCCAGCAGCCGCGGUAAUACGAAGGGUGCAAGCGUUACUCGGAAUUACUGGGCGUAAAGCGUGCGUAGGUGGUUGUUUAAGUCUGUUGUGAAAGCCCUGGGCUCAACCUGGGAAUUGCAGUGGAUACUGGGCAACUAGAGUGUGGUAGAGGGUAGUGGAAUUCCCGGUGUAGCAGUGAAAUGCGUAGAGAUCGGGAGGAACAUCCAUGGCGAAGGCAGCUACCUGGACCAACACUGACACUGAGGCACGAAAGCGUGGGGAGCAAAC